This 497-nucleotide ribosomal RNA is filed under the name uncultured bacterium. RNAcentral's name for it is "partial 16S ribosomal RNA". It matches the Rfam family "Bacterial small subunit ribosomal RNA", at positions 29 to 507 of the family's 1533-position model. The record is from RNAcentral.
AAUGAACGCUGGCGGCAUGCCUAAUACAUGCAAGUCGAGCGAGCGCACGGGAAGUUUUCGUCUCUGAUGUUAUCGGCGGACGGGUGAUUAACACGUGUAUAACCUACCUAUACGACUGGGGUAACUUCACGGGACCAUGUCUAAUACCCGAUAAUAUUUUGAACUUCAUUGUUCAAGAGUUAAAGACGCUCUUGCUGUCGCUUAUAGAUUAAUCCGCGCAGCAUUAGCUAGUUGGUAAGGUAACGGCUUACCAAGGCAACGAUGGAUAGCCGACCUGAAAGGGUGAUUGGCCACCCUGGAACUGAGGCGCGGCACAGACUCCGACGGGAGGAAGCAGUAGGGAAUCUUACGCAAUGGGCGAAAGCCUGAUGGAGGAAAGCCGCGUGAGUGAUGAAGGUCUUAGGACCGUAAAACUAUGUUAUUAGGGAAGAAGAAAUGUGUAAGUACCUGUGAACAUAUUGACGGUACCUAAUGAGAAAGCCCCGGCUAACUCCGUG